GUUACCAAACUGUUGCCUCGGCGGGAUCUCUGCCCCGGGUGUGUCGCAGCCCCGGACCAAGGCGCCCGCCGGAGGACCAACCAAAACUCUUAUUGUAUACCCCCUCGCGGGUUUUUUACUAUCUGAGCCAUCUCGGCGCCCCUCGUGGGCGUUUCGAAAAUGAAUCAAAACUUUCAACAACGGAUCUCUUGGUUCUGGCAUCGAUGAAGAACGCAGCGAAAUGCGAUAAGUAAUGUGAAUUGCAGAAUUCAGUGAAUCAUCGAAUCUUUGAACGCACAUUGCGCCCGCCAGUAUUCUGGCGGGCAUGCCUGUCCGAGCGUCAUUUCAACCCUCGAACCCCUCCGGGGGGUCGGCGUUGGGGAUCGGCCCUUUACGGGGCCGGCCCCGAAAUACAGUGGCGGUCUCGCCGCAGCCUCUCCUGUUGCAGUAGUUUGCCCACUCGCAUCGGGAGCGCGGCGCGUGCCACAGCCGUUAAACACCCCAAACUUUCUGAAAUGUUGACCUCGGAUCAGGUAGAAU
Molecule: ribosomal RNA, 519 nt
Filed under: Trichoderma sp. ASR-224
Lineage: Eukaryota; Fungi; Ascomycota; Sordariomycetes; Hypocreales; Hypocreaceae
Description: eukaryotic LSU rRNA
Rfam family: 5.8S ribosomal RNA (bases 169-322)
Source: RNAcentral